CAUGGAAAUACCAAUUCUCAUUUGAUCACUGAAGUUAAGCAAUAUUGAGCUAGGUCAUUACUCAGAUGGGUGAUCACUUGGGAAU
This is a non-coding RNA of Acanthosepion pharaonis, 85 nucleotides long. Lineage: Eukaryota; Metazoa; Mollusca; Cephalopoda; Sepiida; Sepiidae. The record is from the annotation of a GenBank genome assembly.